GAAGAUUCAAAUUUGGAGUUAUUCAGUCAUAUUUUUAGGUCUAACGACAUUUCAAGGUAACUACUUACAACUCUUGACUUAAGUAAUUGACCAAAUUCCUUCUAUGUUGUCGUGUACGUGAAUUUAAUUAUAACAAUUAAUUUAUUCUUCCGUUGUAGUGACGAAGUUAUAAUUGAAAUUCAAAAUGGACAUCAUGUGACCCGAGGUGAGUUGAUGUCUUGAGGCCCGAAAAGUGGAUUAAUGGCGGAGUGAUGAAAGCACAAGUGUAGGAAGUAAUUCAACUUUCCUAUUUUUAUAGUCCUUGGAAUGUAGUUCGUAGUUGGUACUUGGUAGUAGGUCCCUUCUUCGGGGGAAAGUCCAACUUUACUGAACGAACACACCCCCUGCGUUCAUGUGAACAAAUACCCUGUUUGUUUGAAAAAGUAAGUUAGUUGGGCCCAUGUUUCCUAGGAACGGGCACCUUUACUCAACGAACCCA
Molecule: long non-coding RNA, 478 nt
Filed under: Prunus persica (peach)
Lineage: Eukaryota; Viridiplantae; Streptophyta; Magnoliopsida; Rosales; Rosaceae
Description: long non-coding RNA (PPER_LNC001005)
Source: RNAcentral